RNAcentral lists this ribosomal RNA (329 nucleotides) under uncultured eukaryote. RNAcentral's name for it is "partial 18S ribosomal RNA". It matches the Rfam family "Eukaryotic small subunit ribosomal RNA", at positions 1470 to 1796 of the family's 1831-position model. The record is from RNAcentral.
CCCUUAGAUGUUCUGGGCCGCACGCGCGCUACACUGAUGCAUUCAACGAGUCUAAAACCUGCUCUGAUAGGGGUGGGUAAUCUUUUGAAUGUGCAUCGUGAUUGGGAUAGAUGAUUGCAAUUUUUCAUCUUCAACGAGGAAUGCCUAGUAAACGCAAGUCAUCAGCUUGCAUUGAUUACGUCCCUGCCCUUUGUACACACCGCCCGUCGCUCCUACCGAUUGAAUGAUCCGAUGAAUAUCAUGGAUUGAGGAUGCAAGCAGGUCCGCCUGUCUUCAUCUUCGAGAAGUGAAGUAAAUCUUAUCAUUUAGAGGAAGGAGAAGUCGUAACA